This 512-nucleotide long non-coding RNA is filed under the name Pan troglodytes (chimpanzee). RNAcentral's name for it is "long non-coding RNA NONPTRT014082". The record is from RNAcentral. Lineage: Eukaryota; Metazoa; Chordata; Mammalia; Primates; Hominidae.
UCCUUCGGUACGUGGAUGAUUUACUUCUAGCCACCCAUUCAGAAACCUUGUGCCAUCAAGCCACUCAAGCGCUUUUAAACUUCCUCACCACUUGUGGCUACCAGGGUAAAAAGUCUGUCUGUCAUGUUCCCACUGUAUCCCCAACAACUGGCUCAUUCAAUUUGAGCGCAAGUUACAGCAGACUUGGUAAAUACCUUGUAUUAGUCCGUUUUCACACUGGUAUAAAGAACUUUUUCAUCAUUAUCCCACAACAACCUGGGCAUUCAUUCUUGAUCUUUGUAGGAGAUGUGGGUACAGACUCUGAAGCUGAAACUGGAUCCCUUCCUUACACCUUAUACAAAAAUUAAUUCAAGAUGGAUUAAAGACUUAAAUGUUAGACCGAAAACCAUAAAAACCCUAGAAGAAAACCUAGGCAAUACCAUUCAGGACACAGGCAUGGGCAAGGACUUCACGACUAAAACACCAAAAGCAAUGGCAACAAAAGCCAAAAUUGAGAAAUGGGAUCUAAUUAA